This 345-nucleotide unclassified non-coding RNA is filed under the name soil metagenome. RNAcentral describes it as "partial contains 5.8S ribosomal RNA, internal transcribed spacer 2, and large subunit ribosomal RNA". The stretch from base 1 to 120 matches the Rfam family "5.8S ribosomal RNA", at positions 35 to 154 of the family's 154-position model. The record is from RNAcentral.
GAUGAAGAACGUAGUGAAAUGCGAUACGUAAUGUGAAUUGCAGAAUUCAGUGAAUCAUCGAGUCUUUGAACGCACAUUGCGCCCCCUGGUAUUCCGGGGGGCAUGCCUGUCCGAGCGUCAUUGCUGCCCUCAAGCACGGCUUGUGUUUUGGGCCUCCGUCCUCCUCCCGGGGGACGGGCCCGAAAGGCAGCGGCGGCACCGCGUCCGGUCCUCGAGCGUAUGGGGCUUCGUCACCCGCUCUUGUAGGCCCGGCCGGCGCUUGCCGACACAUCAAUCUUUUUUCCAGGUUGACCUCGGAUCAGGUAGGGAUACCCGCUGAACUUAAGCAUAUCAAUAAGCGGAGGA